CCCAGAGGUAUUGAUUGGUGAUUAUUUCGGUACGCAUUUCGUACUUAAUUUCUUGCACCAACCUGCGCGGAUGCGCAGGUUUUUUUU
This is a non-coding RNA of Kluyvera intermedia, 87 nucleotides long. Lineage: Bacteria; Pseudomonadati; Pseudomonadota; Gammaproteobacteria; Enterobacterales; Enterobacteriaceae. The record is from Rfam.